ACACAAUAAAUGUGUGAAGGACAGUAUGGCAUCACCCAUUCUUUCUAUAAAUGUGGACUUCACACACUUGCUGCACUAGCUCGAAGAUGGAAUUGAUAGGUCACCGUGUAGUUGCUCUGGAAAGUGUGGUGUCAAACUUGAUGUAGAUGGGUGUAGCAAUGGGAGGCACAUGGAAUAUGUGUAGUGUGACCAUUUUACCUAGCCUCUGCCUGAACGAGGAGCCUUGCUUCCAUGCAUCAUAUAGNNNNNNNNNNNNNNNGGUUCAGCAUUUCUAUCUUGAACAGUGACAAGCCGAACAAUACUGAUGUCACCUACAACAUGUCUAUGUUGUGCGGCACUAGCAUUAUGUGGAAACCAUACUGGAUGGUGGACAACUAAACAAGACCACCGGCUCAGCACCCACCUUGCAAUGUCGCCAUUUUGCGAUGGUGCGCUAAUAUAUUGUGGCAGCCAUAUUAACGUGAUUACUACUUGAUUUAGAUUUAGGCCCAAGUUUUGCCCUUCUAGCACAACCAGGUUGUCCGUUGGGCUCCUGGCCUAGUCGUACGUUUAAGAAGUUGUUGUAUUAGCAAGCACUGCUACACUAGUAUCAAGUA
RNAcentral lists this long non-coding RNA (596 nucleotides) under Hordeum vulgare. Its description in RNAcentral is "long non-coding RNA (HVUL_LNC014320)". Lineage: Eukaryota; Viridiplantae; Streptophyta; Magnoliopsida; Poales; Poaceae. The record is from RNAcentral.